AAUCCCAGAGAACGAUUUGCCCAGAUUGGGCAAGUGAUUUGCCCAAAUCACUCGCAGAAACUGCUCAAAUCACCUUGACAGCAGAAAUUGACAGCAGAGGCGGGAAAACAGUAGGAAACCAAAAUUCGAAUUUUCAGAAGUCCAAAUCCAACUCAAUCACUACCAACACAAUUCCAAGAGCCACGAAAGAGCUUCUCAACUAAGGAAUUCCAGUUGCAAUUAAACUCAACAUCAAAAGAGGAAUCACAAGCCAAAUUAAAAAGGGAUUUCAAAACCCUAGAAGGAUGGAAUUCUUCAGCUAUAAAAGAGCAACCUCCAAACCAGCAAGGGGCAUCUUCUGAUCAGCUACUCAACAUCUUCUCCCCUCGCCAGAAACUCUGCAGCUUCUUUCUUUCCUUUCUUUUCAUCUUUUGUGUAUUUAGUCCACCAUGAGUGGCUAAUUUCCUUCUUUUCUAGUUGAAGUUGGUGAAUUUCAGAUUUUGUGAUGAAUUGGGAGAUUUAAAUCUCCAUUGUUAAACUUCUAUUUAUUUUCAANNNNNNNNAGCUUUUCUCUUAUUGAUUUACUCAAACUUUAAAUUAUUGCUUUCUUUUGCUAUUUAAUUUUAAUCAUCAAAUCAAAACCCCCCUCUUUUAUUUAUUUGCUAUUCACCUAGUCAUUAUUAGGAAAAUCUUUGGUGUCAACUCCCUGUGGUUCGACCCUAUUGCCACUAUCUACAAAUUUAUUUGUUGAUUGAUAAUAGGUUUAUUUUUGACGGCUUCGACAACCGCUAUAAAAAAUUGGCGCCGUUGCCGGGGAUUUGAUUUAAACUAAUGUAUUUUCCCUUUAUGACCAGGUCUGGCCGUAAAGACUGUAACGACCCGAAAAUCGGACCGCUACCGACGCUAGGAUCCAGAUCGGCUUAAGGCCGCCGGAACCCGUAGCAAGCCUGACAUGCAACCUGUAAACCUGUUUAAUCCCAUACAUGAUCAACAAUCAUACGUAAAAAUUAAAAACUUUUCUGGCAUUCAUUCCUCAUACACCAAACUCAACCUGUGCAUGCACUAAACAUAGUCAUAAUCAUAAACUUGACCCCUCUGUGGGAUCUCAUCAAUGCCCCAAUGGGCAAUACAUCAUAAGUUGAGUUGGUUAAACAUAAACAUCAAUAGACAUUAAGAUCAUGUAUCAACAAGGGAUUACAAUAUACUAUGGUCAAGCACACUUUUAACCUCAAUAUCAUUACAUUACAUAUCUAUACGUCAUUAUACAAUUUGUUAUGUCCACAUUCUAACUAUUACAUUUACAAGACUUUACUCUUCUUGACUUCUCUGUCUAGCCCGUACCUGCAAUCCUGGGGGAUUAGGGAAAAGGGGUGAGCUACUAGAGCCCAGUGAGCAGAAUAAUAGAAAACAACAUUUAAAAAUCUCAUGCCAUCAUGUAAUGCAACACAUCACAACAAAUCAUAUCUCGGAUGGUAUUGUCACCAAUAGCCCUCUACAUUCCAAAAUGCCGGGACGUAGAAUGGGUACAACCGGUCUUUCUCUUAACAUAACAUAUCAUAACAUUCCAAUGUGCCAGAGACGUAAAAUGGGUACAACCUGGACUUUCUCUUACAUAGUGCCAGGGACGCAGAAUGGGUACAACCUGGACUUCCAUACCAUAUCAUGCCGUAACAUCAUCAUACCAUAUGAGGACUAAAGGAUCAUCCAAUAACCAAUCCACAUCAACAUCAUAAAUGCAAUGCAACAUAUUCGUGGAUUCUAAUGCAAACAACCUAUUUCAUCACAUGGCAUUCAUGAUGCAUGAACAUGCUCAACUGUAUGAUUCAUUUACUUUAAAACAUAAGGUUUAUUCUACUCACCUCUGGCUAGCUCUGACAAAGACUGAUGCAGCUAACUCACUGCUGGGGUCCUCGGUUCCUCGGGUCCGAACGUACACAGGUGGACUCAAAUGAGGGACCAAACAACUAGAACAUAACUCUAAAAAUAUCCCCCAAAAACCCCCUAAAACACCUCAAAACAAUCAUGCAAAAACAUGCAAAGGAAGGCUGGACAGGGCAGGUUCGGUGGCACCUUCGGCGGUCGAAAGUCCCUCCAGAGCCGAAAUCUAGGCAGGUUCGGCGGCACCUUCGGCGGCCGAAAGUCCCAGACAGAGACGAAAGUCUCUUUUCGGGGGCAACUUCGGCAGCCGAAAGGCCUGCCUCCCCAGCCAUGUUCGGCGGCCGAAAGUUCCUUCGGCUGCUGAACCUAGUUUCUGCCAAAGGGCAGAAACUUGGCUCCUCUAAGCACAUUUGCCUCCCAAAACUUCCAAUCAUGCAUUUAGCUCAACCAAAACAUGCAAAUAUACAUACAUUGGCUCCUAGGGGCUUCAAACUAACUUAAACCCCAACUACAACACACAACAACAACACAAAUCCAACAUACAUUGCUCAAAACAUAACAUUAACUCAAAAACCUAACUAUGAGCUAAACAUGCAUUCUACCCCAUAGAUCUUGCAUAAAACUUACUUUAAACAUGAAAUGAGCUUAAGAUCGGCUCUUACCUCUUGAAGAUCGAGAGAGAGACGUCCCAAACUCGGAGGUGGGAGAUUUUUGAGUUCUUGAACCUCAAAGCUCCAAAACUUGCUUUAAACUCGAAAAUCUUCAAAACAAAGCAAAAACUUGUGAAAAUCUUCAAAGAUUUGAAGGAAAAACUCAAGGAUGGUGAGAAACGGCGGAGAGCUCACCUUGGCCGACAAUGGGGAGAAAAACUCGCCCGUUUUUGGCUAAGGGACCCUUUUAUAGUGGCUGGCCAGGCCACGUUCGGGGGCCGAACGUGCCUCCGCAUGCAUGCCAUGUUCGGUGGCCGAACUUGAGGUUCGGCGGCCGAAUCUGGGCUUCCCUCACUUAUGCCUUCGGGGGCCUAAGGCUCACCCGAAAAGCAUGCAUGUUCGGCGGCCGAACCUGAGUUUCCUCCAAGGGUGUUUUUAUUCCAAAAACUCAUUUCCUCUUUAUUUAAAAUCAUCAAAACAUUAAAACAUUUCAUGAAAACAUGGUUUUACCCUUCUAGAGGUCUCCGACAUCCGAGAUUCCACCGGACGGUAGGAAUUCCAAUACCGGAGUCUAGCCGGGUAUUACAAAGACACUCUUCUUUACGACCCUGAAAUUGAGAAAACUGCCAAGCACUUGAGGAAGCAAGCAAAUUUGAGGAACCAAGCCUCAAAAGCAUCUUCAUCAACAACACCAUCUCAUAGAGCUGUUGUUAUACCUGCUGAUUUUUCUGCACCAGCAAAUUCACCUACCUCUACACCAGCUGAAGCACUUGCUGUCACAUCUGCUCCUGCUGCAGAAAUUUUUGCUCCAGCAGACUCUCCUACAGCCACUACUGCAUUUGAACCUGAUACCCGAUUCCAGGUUAUGGUAGAAAAUCCAGCAAUGGCGCAACAACCUGCUGUCCGUGAGGAAGCGGAACUUCAAGCUGGAAAUUUGCUUAUCCCUGUCCAAGCACCACAGCCACAGCCACGGGAAAGAACUCUCGGAGAGCUAGCUGAACCAGCAGGAGACCAAGCACCCUUAUGCAUUGAAUAUCCCCCUUUGACAGCGCCAUUUGAGUUAAAGACAGGCCUAAUCCAUCUCCUUCCCAAAUUUAGAGGCCUAGAAAAUGAGGAUCCUCACAAGCACUUGAAGGAAUUCCACAUUGUGUGCUCCUCCAUGAGACCUCAAGGUAUUACUGAAGAGCAUGUCAAGCUUAGAGCCUUCCCUUUUUCCCUUGAUGACUACGCCAAGGAAUGGCUAUUCUACUUACCACCGGAUGCAUCACAUCAUGGGCUGGUAUGGUGAGAGCAUUCUUGAGAAAAUUCUUCCCUACCUCAAAAGCCAUAGGCAUCCGUCGAGAGAUAAGUGGGAUAAAGCAAAAGCACUCUGAAGGCUUGUAUGAGUACUGGGAGAGGUUCAAAAAGUUGUGCACAAGCUGCCCCCAGCAUGAUAUUUCUGACCAAUCUCUCAUUGAGUAUUUCUAUGGAGGUCUGAUACCCGCAGAGAGAAAAUUUAUUGAUGCAGCCUGUGGAGGAUCCAUUGAGAAAAAGUCACCUAGAGAGAUGAGGGAAUUAAUUUCCACCAUGGCUGCAGCUUCUCAACAAUUUGGAGACCAAGAGCCACCAUCAAGGAGUGUAAAUGAGGUGAGUACAUCCAUUCUAGCAUCCCAAAUUUCUGAUCUCACCAAUGCUGUCCGUAGCCUUGUUGUGGGUCAAACCCAACAAGUUCAGCAGAUUCAGCAGCCCAAGUCAUGUGGAAUAUGUGCCAACAACCACCCAACUGAUCUAUGUCCUUCCCUUCAAGAGGAGGACCAACAAGUCAAUGUUGUUGGAGGUUUCAAUGGGCAAAGAAGGUAUGAUCCCUAUGCAAAUACUUAUAAUCCAGGUUGGAGGGACCAUCCAAAUUUCAGCUAUGCAAGAAGAAAUCAAUAUCCAAGCUACCAGCAAAGGAAUCAAGCUCAAGCUGCACCCAGAACUCCAAAGCACCUCUUGAAGAGAUUAUGCAGAAUUUAGCAAAUACUGUGCAAAGUCUUGAGAAACAAGUGAGUCAAAUGGCCUCUUCAAUGAGCAAAUAUGAGUCUCAAGGGAAGCUACCUUCCCAAACUGAGAUAAAUCCAAGACAAAAUGUUAGUGCUAUCACAUUGAGGAGUGGAAAAGAGCUGCAAGAUAAUAGGGCUGAAAAAUUGCAAAAACAGGCCAUUGAAAAAAAUCUGCCAGAAAGUGAUCAGGGCAGUCGAUUUGCCCAAAUCACCGACCCAAUCGCUAGGCAGAUUGAGCUGCCCAGCAGUGAUCUGCCCAAAUCACCAGAGAAGGUAGAGAUCGAUUUGCCCAAAUCAACAGAUCAGGCAGAGUCCAGCCAAAAGCAGAAAAUACAGCAACCAGCAGAAAAAUUCAAGGUACCUUACCCUUUUCCCAAAAGAUUUGUAAGAUCUCAAAAAGAAAAAGAGGAGAAAGAGAUACUUGAGACACUCCGCAAGGUAGAAAUCAAUAUACCUCUACUUGAUGCUAUCAAACAAAUACCAAGGUAUGCUAAAUUUCUCAAAGAGCUAUGCACCAAUAGGAGGAAACUUGCUGAACAUGAAAAGGUAAGUGUGGGGGAGUGUGUCUCAACUGUCAUUCAAAGGAAACUUCCCACCAAAUGCAAGGAUAGAGGAAUGUUCGCGGUUUCAUGCAAAAUAGGCAAUGUGGGGAUCAAGAAGGCCAUAUGUAACCUUGGAGCUUCAAUCAAUGUUAUGCCCCUUUCCAUUUUUAACUUGUUGAAUGCAGGUACACUCAAGGGCACCAGCAUUAUGAUCCAAUUGGCUGAUCGAUCCGUUGUCUACCCCAAGGGAGUACUAGAAGAUGUGUUGGUGCAAGUUGACCAACUAGUAUUUCAAGCAGAUUUCUAAGUAAUUGACAUGGAAGAAGACAAGAGCAACACAACCUCUGAUAUCUUACUUGGGAGACCAUUCUUAAGCACAGCAAGAACUAAAAUUGAUGUGCAUGAUGGCACAUUAACUAUGGAGUUUGAAGGGGAAGUUAUCAAGUUUAAUGUUUAUGAUGCCAUGAAAUUCCCCAAUGAUGUUUCUCCUGUUUAUGGCCUUGAUGUUAUUGAUGAUUUAAGUCAAGAGGUUUUUGAUUUUGAUCAAGAAAACUUACUUUAUGAAGGUCUUUGCAUGAGGGAAGAAGUGGACAACAACACCAAGACAGACCAGAUGGAGUACUGUUCACAACUGGUGGCGGGUGAUUUGCCCAAAUCACCAAACGAUUUGCCCAAAUCACUGGGGCAGACAGACACAACAGAGCCCGAUUUGCCCAGAUCACUAGAUGAUUUGCCCAAAUCACUGGCCAAAUCAGAUAGCAAACAGCAAAAAUCAGAGCAGACAGCAGAUACACCAGAUCUGAAAUCCUUGCCCAGCCAUCUCAAAUAUGCCUUUUUAGGGGCUGAAAAUACACUUCCAGUAAUUAUUUUUAACCAGCUCAGCCAAGAAGAAGAGGAAAAGCUCCUUGAUGUGUUGAGGAAGCACAAGAAAGCAAUUGGGUGGACCUUGGAGGACAUAAAAGGCACCUCAAUACCAUUCGGUGGAGGCUCAAGACAAGAUGCAGCACAUGGAAAGCAUGUUGCAGCUUCUGGUUCAACACUUUCUGCCCACAGACCAUGACAGCCAGUGAUUUGGCCGGGUGAUUUGCCCAAAUCACCUGCUCAAAUCACCCACAUCCCAGGCAGUCCCUUUCCUUCUCCUUAUUAAUUUUUUCAUAUUUAUGUUUAAACAUUGAGGACAAUGUUUGGGAUAGGUGUGGGGGUAUUUACUGUUAGGUUUAGGUUAUAUUUUUUCCGUUUACAUUAUCUUUUUGCUUUCUUUUUGUUUCUUUUUGCAUCUUUUUGCCCCAUAAACACACACCAAAAAUUUUUUUCACACAUUUUUCACUUUUUACACACACACACACAGAAUUUUGACUUAGCUUUUGCUCUACUCAGCAUAGAUAACAAGGUAAAAAAAGCUUCCUAUCUCAUGACCCCAUUGAUUUUUCUCCCCUUUAAGCCUAAAUUGAAUCAAUUAUAGUGUGCUACCUUCACUUUGGAAGUUCUUUUCUUGAAUUGAAUCUCUAAAUUUACAUUGGUCAAGGGAAAUAAAAAUAUAAAUACAUGCAAAUAAAAUGUUAGUAUAACUCCCUAUGAGGUGAUUUGCCCAAACUGUCAUGAAAAGAAAAGAAAAAGAAAAACCAGCACAAAGCACAAAUCAUAAAACCUGUUCCUAUGGCCAAAUAAGCUAUGAACAGAGCUAGUAGCCACUUGAACAAGUGACUAACUGAGUAACCGGGGGUGGGUAUCACCAAUAUGCACCUUCGCGUAAAAAGGUUAGUGACUUUUUCAGGCAAGAAUAAAAAAAGUGCUGCUGAAUAAAAUAAAAUAAAAUGCUCAAAGAAGGGCAAGUCACUCUUAGAGGUUGCAUUGAGCUUAUACAAAGAGAAUAAGCAUGAAUGAAUAAAAAACCUUUCCUUUGACCAUGAUAGGUAAGGGGAAACAAGGAAAAGAGAAGAACAACCUUGGUGCAUGUAUUCUAUACUGUGAUACUUCAAUUUAGGAGUCUAGGGGGGGCUGAUUAAGUGGUACUUAGGCUCAAAAGAAAAAGGAGCUUGAUUGAAAGUUAUUUGUUGCUUGAGGACAAGCAAAAAGCUAGGUGUGGGGGUAUUUGAUCAAGCAUAAUUUAGCCACAUUUUUAUGAUCUUUAUUAUUGUUUAUUUACACAUUAUUUAGCUUAAUUUAUGAUUUUUACCUUGUUUUUACAGAAAUUGGAAAAAUGGAGAAAAAGUGCAGAAAAUGACAGAAAAGUGAUUGGGUCAGUGAUUUGCCCAAAUCACUCGAAGAAACUGGUCAAAUCACUCGCAGAGACAGAGACAGAAACUGGACUGAAUCCCAGAGAACGAUUUGCCCAGAUUGGGCAAGUGAUUUGCCCAAAUCACUCGCAGAAACUGCUCAAAUCACCUUGACAGCAGAAAUUGACAGCAGAGGCGGGAAAACAGCAGGGAACCAAAAUUCGAAUUUUCAGAAGUCCAAAUCCAACUCAAUCACUACCAACACAAUUCCAAGAGCCACGAAAGAGCUUCUCACCUAAGGAAUUCCAGUUGCAAUUAAACUCAACAUCAAAAGAGGAAUCACAAGCCAAAUUAAAAAGGGAUUUCAAAACCCUAGAAGGAUGGAAUUCUUCAGCUAUAAAAGAGCAACCUCCAAACCAGUAAGGGGCAUUUUCUGAUCAGCUACUCAGCAUCUUCUCCCCUCGCCAGAAACUCUGUAGCUUCUUUCUUUCCUUUCUUUUCAUCUUUUGUGUAUUUA
Molecule: long non-coding RNA, 7803 nt
Filed under: Manihot esculenta (cassava)
Lineage: Eukaryota; Viridiplantae; Streptophyta; Magnoliopsida; Malpighiales; Euphorbiaceae
Description: long non-coding RNA (MESC_LNC007172)
Source: RNAcentral